This 321-nucleotide long non-coding RNA is filed under the name Homo sapiens (human). Its description in RNAcentral is "HSALNT0165071". Lineage: Eukaryota; Metazoa; Chordata; Mammalia; Primates; Hominidae. The record is from RNAcentral.
CUGUGCUUGUGACUCAGACCCCCUUGACUGCCCAGUGAGCAUCUCCAGCGCAAGAGCUGGGUCUGUGCCUGGCACAUGCACACACACCCCUGCUGUUUUCUUGACCAUGCUGAGCAGGCUGGGUGAGGUGGCCACAGAUAGCUGGUGUGGGCGUUCAGAACACAGGAGCUGCAACGCUCAGGCAGGAGGACAGAGGUCCCUGGCACGGGACAAACCACUGUGCUGCCUGCCUGCACCCUGCUCACCCACGCUCCUUAGCUGGGAGUGUCCUGGCCUGGGAGGCCUCCUCUUCCUGGCUUGCUUGUCACACAUAUAUGGUCA